Molecule: long non-coding RNA, 737 nt
Organism: Oncorhynchus masou masou (cherry salmon)
Lineage: Eukaryota; Metazoa; Chordata; Actinopteri; Salmoniformes; Salmonidae
Exons: 3
Source: RefSeq, a predicted model, not a curated record
GGAGACGAGAGAGAGUGAGGGGGCGAGGGAAACCCGAACCCAUGACUUCCGCGUAUUUUCCUCUCUCUGGUCUCGCAUCUCAAACCACCCAGAGUGGUAUAAAAAGACCUGGGUUAUGCUGCUUCAUUUCAAACUCGGAGCAGGAACUUAAUAGCCUACAUGCAGCCCAAUCCAGUUCGAUUUGGAUAUUAAAACAUUUACCGGUAAACCGAAGUCAUAACGUGGUUCGCCAACGUCCGAAGAAAGAUUUUACAUGUUUUGGGGUCCUCUGGUUUUCUUGCAGUGGACAGUUCUUCUGGCCCGGUUCUUCUGACCGACUCGUAAAAGGAGAAUUCUGUAAAGCUUCUGGGAUCGAAACACUCCAGUUUUCUUCUGGAACUCUGUGUGUUCACCGAGAACCCGAGAUGGAUGUGGAAUCUCAGACGAGCGCACGCCCCCGUGGACGGUGCCUGGACGUUUUCUUGGUCGGUUCUGUCGGUUUGCUAUUCCUGGCGGUGGCGACAGUUGUUGUCAUGGGAACUUUGGCUCUUGUGGAGCUACGGUCAGAGAUCGGGGUUAAACCUUAUGUUGUGGAUAUGCAAGGUACAUCGGAGACGCACCAUGGCGUGCCCCGUUCCAUGCCCGCGUAUAAGAUGCAGAACUUGGCCUAUAUGCAACUCAACUCCGCCACGAUGGAGAACAGCACAAUGUCCUGGUCCCAGGUCGAACAUGGACAGGAGUCCUCUGUUGGAGAUCUG